RNAcentral lists this ribosomal RNA (495 nucleotides) under uncultured bacterium. RNAcentral describes it as "partial 16S ribosomal RNA". It matches the Rfam family "Bacterial small subunit ribosomal RNA", at positions 28 to 507 of the family's 1533-position model. The record is from RNAcentral.
GACGAACGCUGGCGGCGUGCCUAAUACAUGCGAGUAGAACGCUGAAGGAGGAGCUUGCUUCUCUGGAUGAGUUGCGAACGGGUGAGUAACGCGUAGGUAACCUGCCUGGUAGCGGGGGAUAACUAUUGGAAACGAUAGCUAAUACCGCAUAACAGUAGAUAUCGCAUGAUAUCUACUUGAAAGGUGCAAUUGCAUCACUACCAGAUGGACCUGCGUUGUAUUAGCUAGUUGGUGAGGUAACGGCUCACCAAGGCGACGAUACAUAGCCGACCUGAGAGGGUGAUCGGCCACACUGGGACUGAGACACGGCCCAGACUCCUACGGGAGGCAGCAGUAGGGAAUCUUCGGCAAUGGACGGAAGUCUGACCGAGCAACGCCGCGUGAGUGAAGAAGGGUUUCGGAUCGUAAAGCUCGGUUGUAAGAGAAGAACGAGUGUGAGAGUGGAAAGUUCACACUGUGACGGUAUCUUACCAGAAAGGGACGGCUAACUACGUG